AGGAUGAACGCUAGCGGCAGGCUUAACACAUGCAAGUCGAGGGGUAUGCUUCUUCGGGAGCAGAGACCGGCGCACGGGUGCGUAACGCGUAUGCAAUCUACCUUUCACAAAGGGAUAGCCCAGAGAAAUUUGGAUUAAUACCUUAUAGUAUAAGAGAACCGCAUGGUUGACUUAUUAAAGAUUUAUCGGUGAAAGAUGAGCAUGCGUCCCAUUAGCUAGUUGGUAAGGUAACGGCUUACCAAGGCUACGAUGGGUAGGGGUCCUGAGAGGGAGAUCCCCCACACUGGUACUGAGACACGGACCAGACUCCUACGGGAGGCAGCAGUGAGGAAUAUUGGACAAUGGGCGCAAGCCUGAUCCAGCCAUGCCGCGUGCAGGAUGACGGUCCUAUGGAUUGUAAACUGCUUUUGUACAGGAAGAAACAGUUCUACGUGUAGAACCUUGACGGUACUGUAAGAAUAAGGAUCGGCUAACUCCGUGCCAGCAGCCGCGGUAAUACGGAGGAUCCAAGCGUUAUCCGGAAUCAUUGGGUUUAAAGGGUCCGUAGGCGGUCAGAUAAGUCAGUGGUGAAAGCCCAUCGCUCAACGGUGGAACGGCCAUUGAUACUGUCUGACUUGAAUUAUUAGGAAGUAACUAGAAUAUGUAGUGUAGCGGUGAAAUGCUUAGAGAUUACAUGGAAUACCAAUUGCGAAGGCAGGUUACUACUAAUUGAUUGACGCUGAUGGACGAAAGCGUGGGUAGCGAACAGGAUUAGAUACCCUGGUAGUCCACGCCGUAAACGAUGGAUACUAGCUGUUGGAAGCAAUUUCAGUGGCUAAGCGAAA
This 824-nucleotide ribosomal RNA is filed under the name Flavobacterium sp. AKB-2008-TE40. RNAcentral's name for it is "bacterial SSU rRNA". It matches the Rfam family "Bacterial small subunit ribosomal RNA", at positions 26 to 856 of the family's 1533-position model. The record is from RNAcentral. Lineage: Bacteria; Pseudomonadati; Bacteroidota; Flavobacteriia; Flavobacteriales; Flavobacteriaceae.